GCUACAUGUUAUGCUGCUGCUGCUUUACCUACACUCUGUUUACAUCCACUUUGCAAGGACACAAAGAUUCAUAUAUUUUUUCAACUUACUUCAGCUCAACAUUGUUACUAAGACACAGGAUCAUAUUGUUUUCCACAUCACAUGUAAAUGUGCAAUCAUAGCUUCUAUGCUGGAGUUGGAUCUACCGUUGCAUUUCUCCUCUUCUCAGUUCAGAACGCAGAUGGUUGA
RNAcentral lists this long non-coding RNA (228 nucleotides) under Elaeis guineensis (African oil palm). RNAcentral's name for it is "long non-coding RNA (EGUI_LNC009677)". The record is from RNAcentral. Lineage: Eukaryota; Viridiplantae; Streptophyta; Magnoliopsida; Arecales; Arecaceae.